RNAcentral lists this ribosomal RNA (388 nucleotides) under uncultured bacterium. RNAcentral describes it as "bacterial SSU rRNA". It matches the Rfam family "Bacterial small subunit ribosomal RNA", at positions 420 to 806 of the family's 1533-position model. The record is from RNAcentral.
GGGUUGUAAACUUCUUUUAUAAAGGAAUAAAGUCGGGUAUGCAUACCCGUUUGCAUGUACUUUAUGAAUAAGGAUCGGCUAACUCCGUGCCAGCAGCCGCGGUAAUACGGAGGAUCCGAGCGUUAUCCGGAUUUAUUGGGUUUAAAGGGAGCGUAGAUGGAUGUUUAAGUCAGUUGUGUAAGUUUGCGGCUCAACCGUAAAAUUGCAGUUGAUACUGGAUGUCUUGAGUGCAGUUGAGGCAGGCGGAAUUCGUGGUGUAGCGGUGAAAUGCUUAGAUAUCACGAAGAACUCCGAUUGCGAAGGCAGCCUGCUAAGCUGCAACUGACAUUGAGGCUCGAAAGUGUGGGUAUCAAACAGGAUUAGAUACCCUGGUGGUCCACUCGGUAAA